Molecule: ribosomal RNA, 497 nt
Filed under: uncultured bacterium
Lineage: Bacteria
Description: partial 16S ribosomal RNA
Rfam family: Bacterial small subunit ribosomal RNA
Source: RNAcentral
GAUGAACGCUGGCGGCGUGCUUAAUACAUGCAAGUCGAGCGAAAAGACGAGAAGCUUGCUUCUCUGAUGUUAUCCGCGGACGGGUGACUAACAAGUGGAUCACCUCCCUAUAAGACUCGGCUAGCGUCGGGAACCCGGAGCUAAUACCGGAUAAUAUUUUGAACCGCAUGGUUUAAAAGUUAGAGACGGUCUUGCUGCCACUUAUAGAUGGAUCCGCGCUGCAUUAGCUAGUUGGUAAGGUAACGGCUUACCAAGGCAACGAUGCAUAGCCGACCUGAGAGGGUGAUCGGCCACACUGGAACUGAGACACGGUCCAGACUCCUACGGGAGGCAGCAGUAGGGAAUCUUCCGCAAUGGGCGAAAGCCUGACGCAGCAACGCCGCGUGAGUGAUGAAGGUCUUCGGAUCGUAAAACUCUGUUAUGAGGGACGAAAAGAUGUGUAAGUAAAUGUGCACAUCUUGACGGUACCGAAAGAAAAAGCCACGGCUAACUACGUG